This is a non-coding RNA of Poecilia formosa (Amazon molly), 65 nucleotides long. NCBI's taxonomy places the organism in Eukaryota, Metazoa, Chordata, Actinopteri, Cyprinodontiformes, Poeciliidae. The record is from Rfam.
UUACAAUUAAAGGAUAUUUCUCGUGGAUGUCAUAAAAAAACGGAAAUAUCUCUUAAUUGUUUGGU